CUUGGUGGUAACAGCGGAGGGGGUCACCUGUUCCCAUACCGAACACAGAAGUUAAGCCCUCCAGCGGCGAUGGUACUGCCACAUCUCGUGGUGGGAGAGCAGCUCACUGCCAAGA
This 115-nucleotide ribosomal RNA is filed under the name Bacillota bacterium. The record is from RNAcentral. Lineage: Bacteria; Bacillati; Bacillota.